Ruditapes philippinarum (Manila clam) is the source of this 532-nucleotide long non-coding RNA. RefSeq lists it as uncharacterized. Lineage: Eukaryota; Metazoa; Mollusca; Bivalvia; Venerida; Veneridae. The record is from RefSeq and is a predicted model, not a curated record. The transcript is spliced from 3 exons.
GAUUCUGUAAUAACCGAAUCUGGUGGUAGCACUUCUGCCCGGUUGUCUAGUUUUUGUUUUUUAUGCCGAAAUUUUGUUCUUGCGUUUUCUGUUUUGCAUUUUAUUUCCCAUUUCGUGACAUAUUCAGGGUUUUCAUUAAGAGGCGGCCGGCGGCCAAAUUGGCCGCCUAGAACACGUUUUGGGCCGGCUAGAAAUCCCGUAGAUACCAUAAAUGAAUACUUGGAAACUGCUUUGGGGGCUCGAAAAUUUACGAUUCGCUCCUUUCGGUAAUUUUAUGCAUUUCCGCUAAUUGCGGUUCACUUCCUUGGCGGCACGUAAACAUCCAAUAUGGCGACCAAAAAACGAAAAAUAGAUCGCAAAAUCGACGAUUUUUUUUAAUUUUCAACCAAAAUCAAUUCAAUCUCAACACGCAUUUAUAUGAUAGCUGGAUUAAAAAGGAUUCCACUCAAGAUGUUCCGCCUAGCAACCAGCUGCACUCCCAGUCAGGAAAAAGUUACAGUCCAGCCCUCUGUUGGUGAUAUGGCCCAAAGAA